This 346-nucleotide ribosomal RNA is filed under the name uncultured fungus. Its description in RNAcentral is "eukaryotic LSU rRNA". The stretch from base 1 to 71 matches the Rfam family "5.8S ribosomal RNA", at positions 84 to 154 of the family's 154-position model. The record is from RNAcentral. Lineage: Eukaryota; Fungi.
GUGAAUCAUCGAGUCUUUGAACGCACCUUGCGCUCCUUGGUAUUCCGAGGAGCAUGCCUGUUUGAGUGUCAUUAAAUUCUCAACCUUACCAGUUUUCACGAAUUGGUAAUGGCUUGGACUUGGGGGUUUUUUGCUGGCUUCGUCAAGAGGUCUGCUCCCCUUAAAUGUAUUAGCCGGUACCCUUGUGGAGUCGUCUAUUGGUGUGAUAAUUAUCUACGCCGUGGGCCUUCACUUUAAAUGGAUUGUACUGCUUCUAACCGUCCGUUAAGUCGGACAAAUAAUGACAAUUUGACCUCAAAUCAGGUGAGGUCUACCCGCUGAACUUAAGCAUAUCAAUAAGCGGAGG